AUUGAACGCUGGCGGAAUGCUUUACACAUGCAAGUCGAGCGGCAGCACGGGGGCAACCCUGGUUGCGAGCGGCGAACUGGUGAGUAAUACAUCGGAACAUGCCCAGUCGUGGGGGAUAACACUUCGAAAGAAGUGCUAAUACCGCAUACGUCCUGAGGGGGAAAGCGGGGGAUCGCAAGACCUCGCGCGAUUGGAGUGGCCGAUGUCAGAUUAGCUAGUUGGUGGGGUAAAGGCCUACCAAGGCAACGAUCUGUAGCUGGUCUGAGAGGAUGAUCAGCCACACUGGGACUGAGACACGGCCCAGACUCCUACGGGAGGCAGCAGUGGGGAAUUUUGGACAAUGGGGGCAACCCUGAUCCAGCCAUUCCGCGUGAGUGAAGAAGGCCUUCGGGUUGUAAAGCUCUUUCGGCAGGAACGAAACGGUGAGCUCUAACAUAGCUUGCUAAUGACGGUACCUGAAGAAGAAGCACCGGCUAACUACGUG
Molecule: ribosomal RNA, 484 nt
Filed under: uncultured bacterium
Lineage: Bacteria
Description: partial 16S ribosomal RNA
Rfam family: Bacterial small subunit ribosomal RNA
Source: RNAcentral